ACUCCAUGUGUAGCGGUGAAAUGCGUAGAUAUAUGGAAGAACACCAGUGGCGAAGGCGGCUGUCUGGUCUGUAACUGACGCUGAGGCUCGAAAGUAUGGGUAGCAAACAGGAUUAGAUACCCUGGUAGUCCAUACCGUAAACGAUGAAUGCUAAGUGUUGGAGGGUUUCCCCCUUCAGUGCUGCAGCUAACGCAUUAAGCAUUCCGCCUGGGGAGUACGGCCGCAAGGCUGAAACUCAAAGGAAUUGACGGGGGCCCGCACAAGCGGUGGAGCAUGUGGUUUAAUUCGAAGCUAUGCGAAGAACCUUACCAGGUCUUGACAUACUAUGCAAAUCUAAGAGAUUAGACGUUCCCUUCGGGGACAUGGAUACAGGUGGUGCAUGGUUGUCGUCAGCUCGUGUCGUGAGAUGUUGGGUUAAGUCCCGCGACGAGCGCAACCCUUAUUAUCAGUUGCCAGCAUUAAGUUGGGCACUCUGGUGAGACUGCCGGUGACAAACCGGAGGAAGGUGGGGAUGACGUCAAAUCAUCAUGCCCCUUAUGACCUGGGCUACACACGUGCUACAAUGGAUGGUACAACGAGUUGCGAACUCGCGAGAGUAAGCUAAUCUCUUAAAGCCAUUCUCAGUUCGGAUUGUAGGCUGCAACUCGCCUACAUGAAGUCGGAAUCGCUAGUAAUCGCGGAUCAGCAUGCCGCGGUGAAUACGUUCCCGGGCCUUGUACACACCGCCCGUCACACCAUGAGAGUUUGUAACACCCAAAGUCGGUGGGGUAACCUUUAGGAACCAGCCGCCUAAGGUGGGACAGAUGAUUAGGGUGAAGUCGUAACAAGGUAACCCAAGGGC
Molecule: ribosomal RNA, 841 nt
Filed under: uncultured Lactobacillus sp.
Lineage: Bacteria; Bacillati; Bacillota; Bacilli; Lactobacillales; Lactobacillaceae
Description: bacterial SSU rRNA
Rfam family: Bacterial small subunit ribosomal RNA
Source: RNAcentral